UUUAUUUGUACAAUUUUGUAAAAUUUAGUUAAUAUUGUUAUAUUAUAUAAACAAAUUUAAAAGAAAAAAAAAUCACAUUUUGUUAUAACGCUCUUUUGCGCUUACAGUUUUUACUAUGCGAUUUUAAUUUUUAAGUUAUUUUUAUUUGUUUUUAUUAGGUUGUUGUGCCUUUUGCAUCAUGCUGUUUCGAUGACUAAGUUUAUUGCUUUUUACCGAAAGGGUUUGAUUUUUAAUUCAAUUGGUUAGAAUUUAUUAUCGGGUAGAUUGAAAAAUUGAUUUAACGUUGUGAUAAAUUAGUCGUUUUCCUUUAUAUCUGUUUUUUGUCAGAUAUUUCUAUUUAUUUAUAGGGCAGAGAGGUCCUGUAAAGAUGUAUAUAUUUAUGUUUUGUAUUUGAUUUAAUAGGGUUAAAAAUCCCCGUUUGUAGUAGUUUUGUUACAAUUUAUUUUAUUUUGGUGGUUAAUAUUACGUUUAAAUGACAAAUAAGUUUAACAGUUUGUUAUAUUUAUGAUACAAUGAGUAAUGAGAUAAACUAUAUUGUUUCUCAAGCAUAUUCCGUCUGUUUAUUAAAAACAUUUCUAUAUAAAAUUUUAUAUAGUAAGACCUGCUCAGUGUUUGAUUAUUAACGGCCGCAGUAUUUUGACUGUGCGAAGGUAGCAUAAUUAAUUGCCCUUUAAUUGGGGGCUCGUUUGAAUGGUUUGACGUGGUUAUUGUUAACAUUAUGUUUGUUUGUGAAAUUAAUUUUGAGGGCACAGAAUCCUCUUUAUUUAAUUAGACGGAAAGACCCCGGGAUCUUUCUAUUUUGCCUGGGGCGGGUUACAUUUUUCAAACUUUAUUUUGACCUUAUAUUGGGUUUAUUGGUUUAAGUUACCCCGGGGAUAACAGUGUAAUAAUUUAUUAGAGAUCAUAUCGAUUAAAUUGUUUGCCACCUCGAUGUUGACUUAGGUAUUAUAGUGUGGCGCAGUAGUCUUACUAUGUGGUCUGUUCGACCUUAAUUACCUCCAUGAGUUGAGUUAAGACCGGCGUGAGCCAGGUCGGUUCUUAUCUAUUUGGCUGGUUUAUUAGUACGAAAGGACCAUAAACUGUUUUUGU
This 1089-nucleotide ribosomal RNA is filed under the name Schyzocotyle acheilognathi. RNAcentral's name for it is "large subunit ribosomal RNA". The stretch from base 767 to 1047 matches the Rfam family "Bacterial large subunit ribosomal RNA", at positions 2074 to 2646 of the family's 2925-position model. The record is from RNAcentral. Lineage: Eukaryota; Metazoa; Platyhelminthes; Cestoda; Bothriocephalidea; Bothriocephalidae.